RNAcentral lists this ribosomal RNA (253 nucleotides) under uncultured bacterium. RNAcentral describes it as "partial 16S ribosomal RNA". It matches the Rfam family "Bacterial small subunit ribosomal RNA", at positions 524 to 776 of the family's 1533-position model. The record is from RNAcentral.
UACGUAGGGUGCGAGCGUUAAUCGGAAUUACUGGGCGUAAAGCGUGCGCAGGCGGUUUUGUGAGCCAGAUGUGAAAGCCCCGGGCUCAACCUGGGAAUGGCAUUUGGGACUGCAAGGCUGGAGUUUGGCAGAGGAGACUGGAAUUCCUGGUGUAGCAGUGAAAUGCGUAGAUAUCAGGAGGAAUACCGAUGGCGAAGGCAGGUCUCUGGGCUAUAACUGACGCUCAUGCACGAAAGCGUGGGGAGCAAACAGG